CCUACGGGUGGCAGCAGUCGAGAAUCAUUCACAAUGGGGGAAACCCUGAUGGUGCGACGCCGCGUGGGGGAAUGAAGGUCUUCGGAUUGUAAACCCCUGUCAUGUGGGAGCAAAUUAAAAAGAUAGUACCACAAGAGGAAGAGACGGCUAACUCUGUGCCAGCAGCCGCGGUAAUACAGAGGUCUCAAGCGUUGUUCGGAAUCACUGGGCGUAAAGCGUGCGUAGGCUGUUUCGUAAGUCGUGUGUGAAAGGCGCGGGCUCAACCCGCGGACGGCACAUGAUACUGCGAGACUAGAGUAAUGGAGGGGGAACCGGAAUUCUCGGUGUAGCAGUGAAAUGCGUAGAUAUCGAGAGGAACACUCGUGGCGAAGGCGGUCUGCUGGACAGCAACUGACGGUGAGGCGCGAAAGCGUGGGGAGCAAACAGGAUUAGAUACCCGGGUAGUC
RNAcentral lists this ribosomal RNA (446 nucleotides) under uncultured bacterium. RNAcentral describes it as "partial 16S ribosomal RNA". It matches the Rfam family "Bacterial small subunit ribosomal RNA", at positions 338 to 795 of the family's 1533-position model. The record is from RNAcentral.